Molecule: RNA transcript, 2388 nt
Organism: Capra hircus (goat)
Lineage: Eukaryota; Metazoa; Chordata; Mammalia; Artiodactyla; Bovidae
Gene: MRPL30
Gene name: mitochondrial ribosomal protein L30
Exons: 7
Source: RefSeq, a predicted model, not a curated record
CUAAAGUGCUGCACCGUGUGUAUGCACUGUUACGGCCGAGUUUGAGUGUGGCACUCUGGGUCCUUCCUCGGCUCCUGUUCUCCUCAGUGGUUAACUUAAGGCUGAGAGACUUCUAGCAACUGCUGCCUCUAAGGAGAACAGCCAUCACAUCCAUGGCAGGGAUUUUGCGCUCGAUAGUUCAGAGGCCCCCAGGGAGACUACAAACGGCAACAAAAGGUGUGGAACCUCUUGUUUGUACAGACUGGAUUCGUCACAAAUUUACGAGGUCAAGAAUUCCAGAUGAAGUUUUUCGGCCUUCACCUGAAGAUCAUGAAAAAUACGGUGGGGAUCCACAGCAACCUCAUAAACUGCAUAUUGUUACCAGAAUAAAAAGUACAAAAAGACGUCCAUAUUGGGAGAAAGAUAUAAUAAAGAUGCUUGGGUUACAAAAAGCACACACUCCUCAAGUUCACAAGAAUAUCCCUUCAGUGAAUGCAAAGCUGAAAGUGGUUAAACAUUUGAUAAGAAUCAAGCCCCUGAAGCUGCCCCAGGGUCUCCCAACAGAGGAGGACAUGUCCAACACGUGCCUGAAGAGCACUGGCGAGCUGGUUGUGCGGUGGCUUCUGAACCCCACGGACCAGGAAGCGAAGAAGUGCUGACAGCCCAGCAGCUUCAGAGUAAAAAGUGGAAGUCAUUUCUAUUUAAAGAUGAUACUUGAAGGGGUGGGGAGAAGUAAGAAUUUCAGCAGAGGUUCAGUACUGGGAGAUCCUGUGGCAGCUCAUAACUAAAGAUGAUGCUGAAGACUCGGAAUUCUAGUUGCCCUUUAUUUUCCUAAAACCUGGCUCAGGCAGCAGUAACAUUGGCAUACUUGCUGCCUGUGGUCCUCUGUCUGUCCUGUCAAAAUCUGGGCAUCAAGCAGAAGUGCUGCCUGAAGUGAAGCCAGAUCCAUGAAUUAAUAAGCUUCAAGGCAGUCACAGUUUCAGUUCUACAAUUACUGAACAUCCGGUACGAAUAUAGCCUGGAGAGGAUAUAAAGUGGAAGGAUACUGACUUCACAGGGCUGGUUCUAACUGGAGAGAUGCCUAUUUGCCACAACAGAAGCUGUCCAUGCUUUAGUUAGCUUGAGGCCAGUUGUGGAUAUGAAAGUUGCCCCUGCUGAUGUUUUCCCAUCUUUUACUGGGCUAAUAUUGUUUAACAUGGGGAGAGGACCAUUGGUUCAUUUUUACCCAAAGAGUCUAACAAAGUUUGGAUAAGUUAUUUUAACCUUAGCUGUGCCUGACUAAAGGAAAAUAUCUAAAUCUUCAUUUGGAUGUUUAGAAAUGAAAUUGUCCAGAAGAGUAAAAGCCUGUCGGGAGAUGAGCACAGGCUAGAGCGUUUGUUUUCUGUUUUCAUGUGACAUAGUACCACAGUCUCAGCUGCUUAAAACCACAUGUGCUCAUUAUCCCACUGUUUGUCUGGGUCAGGCAUCUGGGCAUGGCUUAACUUGCUAGUCCACCUAGGGUCUGACAAGGUUACAAAAAAGGUAUCAGCCAAAACUGGCCUCUUGUCAGAGCCUUGACAGAACGGGUAUCUGCUUCUAAGCUCUUCCAGGUUGUUGCCAGAAUUCAUUUCCUUGUGGCUAUAAAAUUCAAGGCAAGUUGCUUCUUUAAAAGCAGCAUCAGAGUGAGAGACUCCAGCAAGAUGGGUGCUACCUCUUAGGUAGCCAUGUAAAUGCAGUCAUCUGGAUUCCAUCUCCUUUGUUGCAUUCCACUGGUUAGAAGCAAGUCACAGGUCCAGCCCACAUUCAAGGAGGAGGGAAGUUCCACAAAGGCAUGACUGCCAGGGGCCGGGAUCCAGGGGGUUUCCAUGAAGUUGAUAUGCCAAGCCUGGUCAAGUCCAUCCUCAAGCUGGACAAGGGGAAUCCCGAGAUUCAUACUCCUUUGCCUCCCAUCAUUUCAAACCUUUUAGGGACUUCUUCUCUCCUGUAUUUGUGUCUCUGAGAAUUGCUUUAUUUCAGAAGGUUUGUCUGGCCACUCCUUGGUGAAACCGUAGGCCCUUUGGUCAGGCUCAGGGGAGAUAAAGUUACCCAAGUACUAUCUUUUUAAGAGCCUCUCCAGUUCCCAGGGCCUUCUCAAUCUAAAUGGUGCCUCUUUCAGUCCAAACACCUGUUUUCUUCAUCUUUUCUUGUUAACAGUACUAACUGUUAAUAGUAUGUUUAUCAUUCUAUCACAAGUUCACCAAAGUUUGGAAUUGCACUGGCCGUUUUAGGAAGCUUUUGGCAUGAGCAAGAUUGUGUGUUUGGGAGGUACUUUAGAACAAAAAGUAAAGAAAUCUCGAUGAAGACAUUAUUUGUCUGGCAUUGGAACAUGUAUAAUAUCAUAUAAGAAACGAAUUGCCAGUCUAGGUUCAAUGCAGGGUGCAGGAUGCUUGG